AUUGAACGCUGGCGGCAGGCCUAACACAUGCCAGUCGAGCGGAUGAAGGGAGCUUGCUCCUGGAUUCAGCGGCGGACGGGUGAGUAAUGCCUAGGAAUCUGCCUGGUAGUGGGGGAUAACGUCCGGAAACGGGCGCUAAUACCGCAUACGUCCUGAGGGAGAAAGUGGGGGAUCUUCGGACCUCACGCUAUCAGAUGAGCCUAGGUCGGAUUAGCUAGUUGGUGGGGUAAAGGCCUACCAAGGCGACGAUCCGUAACUGGUCUGAGAGGAUGAUCAGUCACACUGGAACUGAGACACGGUCCAGACUCCUACGGGAGGCAGCAGUGGGGAAUAUUGGACAAUGGGCGAAAGCCUGAUCCAGCCACGCCGCGUGUGUGAAGAAGGUCUUCGGAUUGUAAAGCACUUUAAGUUGGGAGGAAGGGCAGUAAGUUAAUACCUUGCUGUUUUGACGUUACCAACAGAAUAAGCACCGGCUAACUUCGUG
RNAcentral lists this ribosomal RNA (484 nucleotides) under uncultured bacterium. RNAcentral's name for it is "partial 16S ribosomal RNA". It matches the Rfam family "Bacterial small subunit ribosomal RNA", at positions 30 to 507 of the family's 1533-position model. The record is from RNAcentral.